GGCUAGUCCAAAGGUAGUACGUUAUCUUGGUUGUUCACAGUCAGUUACAGAUUAAACUCCUUGUUCUACUCUUUCCCCUCUUCUCACUACUUCACUUGACUAGUCUUAA
Molecule: Y RNA, 109 nt
Filed under: Carlito syrichta (Philippine tarsier)
Lineage: Eukaryota; Metazoa; Chordata; Mammalia; Primates; Tarsiidae
Description: Y RNA (ENSTSYG00000026569.1)
Rfam family: Y RNA
About the family: Y RNAs are components of the Ro ribonucleoprotein particle (Ro RNP), in association with Ro60 and La proteins. The Y RNAs and Ro60 and La proteins are well conserved, but the function of the Ro RNP is not known. In humans the RNA component can be one of four small RNAs -- hY1, hY3, hY4 and hY5.
Source: Rfam by way of RNAcentral